Molecule: ribosomal RNA, 253 nt
Filed under: uncultured bacterium
Lineage: Bacteria
Description: partial 16S ribosomal RNA
Rfam family: Bacterial small subunit ribosomal RNA
Source: RNAcentral
GACGAACCGUGCAAACGUUGUUCGGAAUCACUGGGCUUAAAGGGCGCGUAGGCGGUCAAGCAAGUCCGGGGUGAAAUCUUUCGGCUCAACCGGAAAAGUGCCUUGGAUACUGCUUGUCUGGAGGGAGGUAGGGGCAUGUGGAACUUCUGGUGGAGCGGUGAAAUGCGUUGAUAUCAGAAGGAACGCCGGUGGCGAAAGCGACGUGCUGGACCUCUUCUGACGCUGAGGCGCGAAAGCUAGGGGAGCAAACGGG